Molecule: long non-coding RNA, 731 nt
Organism: Salvia miltiorrhiza (redroot sage)
Lineage: Eukaryota; Viridiplantae; Streptophyta; Magnoliopsida; Lamiales; Lamiaceae
Exons: 2
Source: RefSeq, a predicted model, not a curated record
CUGCGCCCCAUCUCUCCUUUCUCACUCUCUCUCUCGCCUUUCCCUCUCUGUUCGGCUGAGGGCGGCGCCGCCUCCGGCGCGCCGCCUCGCCGUCGCCUCCUCCCCUCCUCUCCUUCGGCCACCGCGACCAGCCACCAGGUGUCGCCACCCUCGACUCCCUCGCUCCCUCGGCCGCUGGAACCAGGCGCAGCAGCGCGACCACGCCGCCGCUGUCAUCUCCUCCGCCUCUCCUCCACGGCAGAUCCGCCGCCGCCGUUCAACGCCACGGCCACCCCUUGUUCUCCCUCUCUCUCUAUCCCUAACUCUCAACUUCAUCUCGAUCUCUCUCUCUAACCUCACUGCCACACACGCCGGCAGACACGGCGUAAGCCGCGCCGCCGCGUCGCCCUCCCUCUCGCUGGCUGCACAGGCCCACGGCCGUGGAGGAGCCGCCGUCGCCGGAGACAGCCCAGAUCGGAACCACGGCAGGUUCACCGCCGCCGCUCCGUCGCCGGCGACGAGCCACCGCGGCUGCCGCCUCCCUCUGAUCUCGACUCACACACACACAGCAGAGUCAGCCCCCCCCCCUUCAAAGGUUUCAAGCCUCAAAUUCAGUCGAACACUUAGUACAUAGGAUUUGAGCAAAAAUCAAAUACUGUAAUUGCUUAAUGAAAUCUGAAAUUCUUUUCUUGAAACUGAACUAGUCUGUAAAUUUCAGUUCAUAUGUGCAUAUGUAAACAUGUUGUGAAAUA